Molecule: long non-coding RNA, 1176 nt
Organism: Pomacea canaliculata
Lineage: Eukaryota; Metazoa; Mollusca; Gastropoda; Architaenioglossa; Ampullariidae
Exons: 2
Source: RefSeq, a predicted model, not a curated record
ACCACAGUAACUACUACCAGUCGAUUUUGUCUACAUCAAGUGAAUCUCCACACACUUCUGUAAAGUUUGAUGUGGCAAAAUAUUGUAGAGUGAUGAGCACUUGCAGUAAAGAUGUUAGUGUACCUGCCCGACUGGUGACAGCGAUCUCGCAUGCUUCAGUGGGCCGCAACAUCUUGCCAGCAGACCCAGUUUUGGACAGCCCCCACCCCCUCAGUUGGACCCAAAAAAUUUGGAUUACGAUAGUCAAUAGACAACAGCUUUUCAUCCUUUGAGACACGGUUCAUUGUUAGCAUUAGCUCAGACAGAAAUGUAGAAAAAUAUUGCAAUAACUUCAAUGUUUACAUUUUUUUUUUUCCAUAUGAAAAAUCAGAGGUUCAUAUUGUGAUUUGCAUAUAAUUUAGGACAUGUAUUUUUAAUUAACACUGUAUUAGUCUUAUUGCCUCCAAAAUGCUCUGAUUUUUCAAAAAUAAUGAUUUAUAUUGCUCACUUCCAUCUUCGUUUGGUAAAACUUUUAAUAACAAAGCUACAUAUUCCUUAUUCCUCUUAAAUUCAAAGAUGCAUUGCUUUUCAGAAAUACAAUACACAGUGUCUACAGUUUUAAAAAAUAAGCUUCAUAUCUGGUGUGGCAUUUGUAUUUAAACAUCAAUAAGAUGUUGGCAAUGUUACAGGUUUAAGGAAAGGCAAGGGGAGUAGCAUUUGUCUAUUGAACAAAAUUACAUCCCUAACAUAAAGCUGUAAUAAUUUAUGGAUUAUUUUUAUCAAAAAAGGCGAUCAUGAAUUGACAUUGUUGAUCUUUUUUUUAAAGGGCAUCUUUAACAAUGCAAAAUAAAGACCAAAGUCACUUCUUAUAAAUGGUGCUACUAAACGCACGAUAUUGUAUGCUUUUCAUUUUUUCAUUUCAAAAUGUUCCAGAAAAUAAUUUUAGGCCAUGUGCAUUUUACAAUAACACCAAGAAAUAUAUAUUAGUUUUACAAGAUCUUGUGACAAAGAUGUAAAGUACUUUAGUUGGCCUAUUGAUAUUCUUAUAAUGCCAGCACCCCCACCAUACCUGGUUGGUUGUAGAAAACAAUGCCAAUGUUUGUGCUUUGCUUGUCACAAAAUAUAUCCCUUUGGAUUACAAUUUUAUGUGGUGAUUCUGAGGUAAUCAGGCAAAAUAGACAAAAACCCUUUUUUGUC